RNAcentral lists this ribosomal RNA (520 nucleotides) under uncultured Glomus. RNAcentral describes it as "SSU rRNA". It matches the Rfam family "Eukaryotic small subunit ribosomal RNA", at positions 569 to 1091 of the family's 1831-position model. The record is from RNAcentral. Lineage: Eukaryota; Fungi; Glomeromycota; Glomeromycetes; Glomerales; Glomeraceae.
AGCAGCCGCGGUAAUUCCAGCUCCAAUAGCGUAUAUUAAAGUUGUUGCAGUUAAAAAGCUCGUAGUUGAAUUUCGGGAUCAAUAUGUCGGUCGUGCCUCGGUACGUACUGGCGUAAUUGGUUUCUCCCUUCUGAAGAACCUCGAUGUCAUUAAUUUGGUGUCGUGGGGAAUCAGGACUGUUACUUUGAAAAAAUUAGAGUGUUUAAAGCAGGCUCGCGCUUGAAUACAUUAGCAUGGAAUAAUGAAAUAGGACGUUUGAUUCUAUUUUGUUGGUUUCUAGGAUCGACGUAAUGAUUAAUAGGGAUAGUUGGGGGCAUUAGUAUUCAAUUGUCAGAGGUGAAAUUCUUGGAUUUAUUGAAGACUAACUACUGCGAAAGCAUUUGCCAAGGAUGUUUUCAUUAAUCAAGAACGAAAGUUAGGGGAUCGAAGACGAUCAGAUACCGUCGUAGUCUUAACCAUAAACUAUGCCGACUAGGGAUCGGAUGAUGUUGAUUUUUUAAUGACUCAUUCGGCGCCUUAA